RNAcentral lists this ribosomal RNA (758 nucleotides) under uncultured bacterium. Its description in RNAcentral is "bacterial SSU rRNA". It matches the Rfam family "Bacterial small subunit ribosomal RNA", at positions 8 to 796 of the family's 1533-position model. The record is from RNAcentral.
AGAGUUUGAUCCUGGCUCAGAAUCAACGCUGGCGGCGUGCCUAACACAUGCAAGUCGAACGAGAAAGUGGUAGCAAUACCAUGAGUAAAGUGGCGCACGGGUGAGUAACACGUGACUAACCUACCCUGGAGUGGGGGAUAACUGAGGGAAACCUUAGCUAAUACCGCAUAAUACCCACGGGUCAAAGGAGCGAUUCGCUCCAGGAGGGGGUCGCGGCCGAUUAGUUAGUUGGCGGGGUAACGGCCCACCAAGACGAUGAUCGGUAUCCGGCCUGAGAGGGCGCACGGACACACUGGAACUGAAACACGGUCCAGACUCCUACGGGAGGCAGCAGUGGGGAAUUUUGCGCAAUGGGGGAAACCCUGACGCAGCAACGCCGCGUGGAGGAUGAAGUCCUUCGGGACGUAAACUCCUUUCGAUCGGGACGAUAAUGACGGUACCGGAAGAAGAAGCCCCGGCUAACUUCGUGCCAGCAGCCGCGGUAAUACGAGGGGGGCGAGCGUUGUUCGGAAUUAUUGGGCGUAAAGGGUGCGUAGGCGGUUUGGUAAGUCUUAUGUGAAAUCUAUGGGCUCAACUCAUAGACUGCAUGAGAAACUGCCGGGCUCGAGUGUGGGAGAGGUGAGUGGAAUUUCCGGUGUAGCGGUGAAAUGCGUAGAUAUCGGAAGGAACACCUGUGGCGAAAGCGGCUCACUGGACCACAACUGACGCUGAUGCACGAAAGCUAGGGGAGCAAACAGGAUUAGAUACCCUAGUAGUCC